ACGCUCGACACCUACGGGAGGCAGCAGUGGGGAAUAUUGCACAAUGGGGGAAACCCUGAUGCAGCAACGCCGCGUGAGUGAAGAAGUAUUUCGGUAUGUAAAGCUCUAUCAGCAGGGAANAUAAUGACGGUACCUGACUAAGAAGCUCCGGCUAAAUACGUGCCACAGCCGCGGUAAUCUGAGCGGGCUGGCAAGGC
Molecule: ribosomal RNA, 197 nt
Filed under: uncultured bacterium
Lineage: Bacteria
Description: partial 16S ribosomal RNA
Rfam family: Bacterial small subunit ribosomal RNA
Source: RNAcentral